AACUCCAUUGUGUUUCCUGAACAGAGGAAACCACUGAGGAAAAGUAACACAAAUGUGGAUCACUUCAAGCAUAUGUUGUUAUGAGGGAACUAAAUGAAACGGUAAGCAGGAGUGAUCUGCCCAUGGCUGCAUAAUGUA
Non-coding RNA from Tinamus guttatus (white-throated tinamou), 138 nucleotides. NCBI's taxonomy places the organism in Eukaryota, Metazoa, Chordata, Aves, Tinamiformes, Tinamidae. The record is from RefSeq and is a predicted model, not a curated record.